CAGUGGGUGGAAAACAACGAAGGCUGCUGCUCCGUGGUGACUCCGCUGGAGUUGUAUCACUAUGGAAUGUAGACCAGGCUGUCACGCCAGUCCUCAACCAGUUACCUUCGCAUGCCCCAAUUGUAAUGACAAGUUUAGAUAUGGCCUGGGAGGAGAUGAACCCAAGCCCUGUCGGUAUAUUGGACCAAUUGAGUCAUCCAGAUGAACAAGAAAUAAAGUUAACAGCAUCCAUCUAUCUAUUGGCUGCUAACCGUUUAGUGGUCGGCAGAGAGGAUGGUUCCAUUGUGAUAGUAAA
This is a long non-coding RNA of Papilio polytes (common Mormon), 295 nucleotides long. RefSeq lists it as uncharacterized. NCBI's taxonomy places the organism in Eukaryota, Metazoa, Arthropoda, Insecta, Lepidoptera, Papilionidae. The record is from RefSeq and is a predicted model, not a curated record. The transcript has 3 exons.